This is a non-coding RNA of Podarcis muralis (Common wall lizard), 3202 nucleotides long. NCBI's taxonomy places the organism in Eukaryota, Metazoa, Chordata, Lepidosauria, Squamata, Lacertidae. The record is from RefSeq and is a predicted model, not a curated record.
GGGUGGUUUUUUCCUCCCCCCUUUUUUCUUCUUCUUCUUCUUCUAACUUUAAAUACUUCAGAAGGGAGUGGUUUAUUUCUCUCCUUUUCCUCUAGGGCAAGAAAGGAAGAAGAGAAGAAGAAAAACCCUACUGAUUACUGCAAUUCAUUAAAAUAAUUUAUCCAUGCUCACAUUAGUGGAUUUCACUGUUUUUCUAGAUGAGUGCUGUUUUGUUUUUUAAAAGGUUUUCCCCCCCCCCUUCCUAACUUCUGGGUGGAAAGUCUAUCCUAAUAAAUAUAUUUUGCUCCCUUAAACGUCCCCCCCCCGAAUUUACCCUAUCGUGUUUGCCCCACAGGGGUAAAUCAAUUUAAUAUGUGCAGUUUUAGCAAAUACCUUGAUUACAAAGGUUCCCCCCCUUCUCUCACCAAAACGUUGGGGAUUUUUUUUUUUGAGCUGAUUUUUAAAAUAAUUAUGGCCACAAUCCAACACUGAGUGUGGUACACUGAAGUCCCAAGAAAGUCGCUGGGCGUAAGGAUGUAUACCUCUCUUAUGGAUUGUGGCCCUUACUUGCUCUCCCUGUUUUAUAAAUGGGAAACAAAUGCACCACUAAAGGGAAAUUAGUAAGUAAAAUGGGGAAGCAUUAUAAUAAUUAAGAAUGGUUAUCACAUUUUAUUUUUUGACAAGCCUCAUGCAUCUAUAUAAUUUGAGUUUAAGACUUAAAAUACAGUUUUGAAAAAGUUAGCUUUCCUUUUAUUUGUGGCCUUUGAUCUCAAACCCUCUAAUAAUAAUGGAGGAACCAAUAGGAAGUUUUAAAGGACUCAGUUCUUUAUUUUUUUCCAAACCAGGUGGCUCUGAUAAUCUCUCAUUUUAGUGUCUGUUAUGUUGGAGCAAGUGAGACUGUCCUGCCUGCACAAAUAAGGCCUGCAAAACCUAGCUGUCCAUGAGCCAUUCCAUAUAGCAAAAUACCCCACAAAAAAGAUGGAGUUUGGAAGGGACAUGAUAGAAGUGGAGAAGUGAAGCUGCAAUCACAAAGCAUGUCUCUUCCUGGUGGGGACGAGAACGGAUCAAGCGGUCCAGCAUCAUCCGAAUUUUAAACUUGGAAUUUCACUACAUCGGUGCAUUAUAUUGCCUGCCGGUUAAAAAUGAAGCAACGAGAACAAAGUACAAAUUUCCAAAGAAGGAGGGGGAAAUCCCUUUUGAAUCUUGACCUGAGUUGUUUGUGGCUUGGUCCUCCUUGCUCAAGGGAACAGCAUGAAAAAAGGAAAACAUCCUUUUCCUUCUGUCUCUUCUCUGCCUUUGAUGUUUUUUCACAAUGCAGUUAAGUGUCAGGAAUCCUAUCAAGGAACCUGCAGCAUGAUACUAAUAGGGGAAAUGUAGAAUUUAUUUCAACAGCUCACACACACAACUGCAUCUUGUCUUUCAAGAGGGUCAAAGAUGUGUUGCUCAUUACCCCACAAGCCUGCUCUUCCCUCAAGGGAACUGCUGCUGUUUGGCUCGGGGGUGGGAAGAAAUAUUUCAAGGCCUUUCCCCUGCUGAUUACAAUGUGACUGACGUAGACACACACACACACACACACACACACUUCUGUGAAAGCCUGUGGAAACACGGGAAUUACACACUUUGAUUCAGAAAAUCAGAGUGCAGGUGGCAUCUGUUGCAAAUCCAUCCCCCCUGACCUCAGGCGGUUCAUUGACACCUUCCAGCAUUCAGAAACCAAGAGCAAGCGCUCCCACCUCUUGGCAAAAUCCUCAAAUGUCUUAAGACUUCUGGCAAAAUUAUAACUGAUUUUGGGGGAGAUUUGUUUUUCCAUAACCCGCAUGUCUCUGCAACUGGUCCUAGGAAUUUUGGCUCACUAGGAAUGAGAAUCACUGGGAUUUCCAGGUCAGAGGUCACAUUCUCUAGUGUUUCCUUCAACCACAGCUGUAUUGGUGUGUCUUCUCUUCCAUCACAAGGCACUGGAUUGUGGACAGCUUGAGCCAUUCCCCCACCCCACCCCCCAAAAAAUAACCAGAUGAAAGGAUAGCCAGUUUGAAAUAUGUUAAAAGUUCAUAAGAACCCACAACUGAUUGGAUGUAAGGAUUAGCCAUCCUGUUCAUUUAUAGUCAAGGGUUUAGAGUAGGCGCUACAGAGCAGGGAGGGAGCCAGGCAUUGUACAGCAGGCCAGCCUGCUAUUGGUGACUGCUUUAGACCUCAUGGAGCCAGUCAUUUUAUUUAUUUUACUAAAUCUACACCCUGUCUUUCCUCCAAGGAGCUAAAGGUUGGCCUAGAAUGGUUAUCCUCACAACAACCUGCCGGCACCCGCUCCGUCUUAGGAGACGAUGGAACAGUGCGCCUUUGAGAGUGAAGUCAAGCCGUUAGUUACAGCACCUGCUGUGGCUGUGGCAACUGCUGUGGGAGAGACAUGUUUUGUUGCAGCUGCGGCAGAUGAAGAUGUCCAGUUUCACUGUUACAGAUACACCAUGGCAUUUCUCCUCUCUGCACUCCUCCCAGUGUUAAUUUCUCUUGAGGUUGUGUUUCCACAGCAGUGACCUGACUGUCUCCAGGUGCUGUGGUCAUCUGCAAGGGAUUCCCACAUUGUGGGGGUGAUCUUGCCAGCCUUCAUAUGGUCUGCCGACAGGCCUGGUGUCUGAAGGCAGCUCCCUAUAGAGCACAUCCUUUGGGAUCCUACCAUUUUCCACCACCAAGCCAGCAUAGAAGGUGCUGAGACAGGAGCAUGAACAUGCUGGGAAUGUGGACUUGGGAGAGCACAUCCUUGUUUGAGACUGUGUCCUGCCAUGGGACACCCAAAAUUCUUCCUGAUGCAGCACAUGUGGAAAGCAUUGAGACGUCGCUCCUGGCAAGUGCACCACAUGCAGGUGCAGUUUUUGAAGACUGUGAGGAGCGAGACUGGAUCACCAGUAACCAUAAGGAGCAGUGGGGAAGUGGUGCAGGAAGAUGCUCAGGCAGCUUAAUGUGAGGAGCACGCAGGGUGCCUAUUGGGAGAGACAGCUGGAGUCCUGAGGCCAGCUGGUGUAGCACUGUGCAAAAUCCAAGAUGUGGAACAAAUAUUGUGUGGCACCUGUAAGAGUGCCGGUUCUGCUGAUCCAAGCAGUCGUGUGGACAUAGAAGGUGAUCUCACAGGUUCUUAUCCAUGUCUAGGUUGACGCGUUCGUAUUUCCAUGUAUAGCUGGCUGCAUGGGCGUUGUAGGGCAAGUACCGCCGAAGGAUCUCCCACAUGGAUUCC